UAGAGGCUCUUGACGUCAGGCGUUACCUAGUACCACAAAAAAGACAGGCUAUUCAUGGAGCUAGGAGAAAAGCAGCCUAAUUUCCUGGGAAAAGCAAAGCCGAAUUCUGUUCCCUGAUUGGACGCACCACUGGUUUUUCAUAUGAGUGUCACGGAAACCGGUCUCGGAUGAAGAACUUAUGACAUUGCGAGUGCUACGGCUUAACGGGGAGUUCAGAGGCGGGUUUGCACAACAAACAGAUGUUCUUUGAUGUCAGCUGCAGUGAGGGGGAGGCAAAAAAUGGGAACGCUGAAAAGUAGGAGGAGGAAGGUGUCAGAACUCUAAUCACCAUGCAUCGCUCAGAAAGAAAUCUAUUGUAUCUCUUAGCUCAAACACUGGCUUUGAGUCACAGUUACAACGCCGGCUCGCGGAUCCAGAGAAGCUAAAUUACACCGGCUGUCAACCAACCCUACGUGGAGCUCCGUUCAGGCUUGUAAUAAAUUAUGUAAAAGAGCCUAACAGCAAGAAAAUGGCCGUGCCAUUUACUGUCACUUCAGAGAAUUUGUAUCAUGACAUUUCACGAACGCUUGGCCAAUUAUACUUGGAUAGAUCUAUUGCAUAAACUAAAUAAUAGUUUCUCCACUCCAGCUAUCUGACUUAGUUAUUCAUUAAACCACCCACAUCACAAGUGCACAGUACGGCUCAGGAUAAGUACUCCAUGAACAGCUCAUUUAGGUUAGAGAGUGUGUGUGUCAGCACUGUGUAGAAGUUAUAGACCCACAUGCCUACAAAACCAGAAGUAUUUUCCAAAACACAUAACAUAUCUUCACAAUUGAUUUCCACUGCAGUCAACCCAGUGUAAAAGAGCACUGGUGUUUGUUAUGCUAUCAUAUUACAACAAAUCUGUGUAAUAUCUAUAUUUUUUCCAUUUGAAACUAAUUCAUGUUCAUCCGUUGACCGCAUGAUUCAUUUUAAAUUUGUAUUCAUACUAAUAUAAUUCAAAUACACGUCCACAAUUUGAAUUCAGAAAUGCACCUUAUCAGCCACCUCUCUGAAUCUUUUGAGAUGCUAUCCUAGACCUUUUACACUACUACAAAUACAGGAUGGAAAAAUGUAUGACACCUUUCAGUUUGGCCUAAGAUCAUAACAGGAUAUGGAGGCACGCUGUUUAAAGUCUCUCUAGUUCAGACUCAUUUCCAAUACUAACGGAUGUUGCUCAACAGUUUCAACUGCAAUACUGGUUACAGUUUAUUCAGACCUCCAUUCGCUGACUGACAUUUAAGCUUUAACUAGUCAGCUGCCUUCGUGAUGGAAGGACUGUCAUAAGGUGCAAUAAAAAAAACUCAAACACAUAACUAUCUGACACUGAGGGUGUGACGUGUCAAGACAUGUAGGCAUUACCAUUGUCUAGGCUGAAGUACUGUAUGGUAUCUUAUCUUGACAAUAACAAAGAGGAAAUCUCCCUUCAGUAACUAAACAGUUCGCCCAUAAUAAAUGAAAAAUCAUUUACUCAUGAUACUCCAAUCUAUAAGUAUUUUUUCUGUUUAAAAUGU
Carassius gibelio (silver crucian carp) is the source of this 1532-nucleotide long non-coding RNA. RefSeq lists it as uncharacterized. The transcript is spliced from 4 exons. The record is from RefSeq and is a predicted model, not a curated record. Lineage: Eukaryota; Metazoa; Chordata; Actinopteri; Cypriniformes; Cyprinidae.